This 573-nucleotide long non-coding RNA is filed under the name Physcomitrium patens. Its description in RNAcentral is "long non-coding RNA (PPAT_LNC006379)". The record is from RNAcentral. Lineage: Eukaryota; Viridiplantae; Streptophyta; Bryopsida; Funariales; Funariaceae.
AAUCUUAAAGAAAUAUUAAAAUAAUAAAAAAAUAUAUCAUAAAUAAAUCUCAACCAAGUCCUAAUUUUAAAUUAAUUGAAAUUCUAAUGGACUUCAAUCAAAUUUUAGGCCAAAUUCUAAAUCCUAAGAAAAUUCUAAAUUCUAAAGUCUAAGCAAAUUUUAAACCCUAAAUCCUAAGAAAAUCCUAAAUCCUAAGAAAAUCCUUAAUCCUAAAUCCUAAGAAAAUCUUAAAUCCUAAAUUCUAAAUAAUUCCUAAAACUUAAAUCUUAAACAAACUUUAAAUCUUAAAUCCUAAAUAAAUCCUAAAUCCUAAAUUCUAAGCAAAUCUUAAAUCCUAAAUCUUAAGCAAACCUUAAAUCAAAUCCUAAAUCCUAGUCCAACUCUAAAUCCUAAUCAAAUCUUAAUCAAAUCCUAAAAAAAUCAUUAGAAAAUCCUAAAUCCUACUGCAAUCUUAAAUCCUAACCAAACUUUAACAAAAUCCUAAAUCCUAAUCCAAUUCUAACUCUAAACCAAAUUCUAACCAAAAUCUAAUCAACUCAACCUAAUCCUAGCAUAAUUUAGAACCUCAAUAUC